UCAGAUGGCUAGGGGUGCCCGUAAUGGCGGGCUGAGAAAUACCCUUUGAACCUGAUCCGGUUAACCCCGGCGUAGGGAAGCUGCUUGUAAUGCGU
This 95-nucleotide non-coding RNA is filed under the name Gammaproteobacteria bacterium. RNAcentral describes it as "TPP sequence". It matches the Rfam family "TPP riboswitch aptamer (THI element)". From Rfam's summary of the family: Vitamin B(1) in its active form thiamin pyrophosphate (TPP) is an essential coenzyme that is synthesised by coupling of pyrimidine and thiazole moieties in bacteria. The previously detected thiamin-regulatory element, thi box was extended, resulting in a new, highly conserved RNA secondary structure, the THI element, which is widely distributed in eubacteria and also occurs in some archaea. The record is from RNAcentral. Lineage: Bacteria; Pseudomonadati; Pseudomonadota; Gammaproteobacteria.